Long non-coding RNA from Chenopodium quinoa (quinoa), 1245 nucleotides. RefSeq lists it as uncharacterized. The record is from RefSeq and is a predicted model, not a curated record. Lineage: Eukaryota; Viridiplantae; Streptophyta; Magnoliopsida; Caryophyllales; Amaranthaceae. The transcript is spliced from 3 exons.
UAGGAAUCCUUGAAGUUUCUGCUGGAGUGGAUCAAACGGUUCCUACACUAUAAGCGGAGAGAAUUUACAUUUUAGGAGAGAGCUAUGGAGCUUGACAGGUAAUUUGUUGAUUCUCCGAUGCCGUUAUCUCUGAUCUCCGGUUGCUCAAAUCUGUCAGCCCAGCCCUGAUACAACUGAGUUGUAGUUCUCAGUGUCUCGCCUGCUCGCCCUGCUUCGUUGAGUUCUAGGGGAAAAAGAGGAGGAGAUCGAGAAGAUCAAAGAUAAUCUCAGAGAAGUUCUCAAGCACUCUGUGCUUUUAGAGCUCCGAACUUCAUAAGUAUCUUGAACUCUUUGAGUGACUUCUUGCUUUUAUGCGAAAUAGAAAUGUUACCAGAAACCUAAUUUUAAUAAUUGUGAUCCCGCCUAGACGAUUUUUUGGCUAAUCAAUGUAUUUGAGAUCCAAUGUAUUGAUCAUUCUUUAUAUUCAUUUGUGGUUGUUGGAUUAAUGUUAAUUUGUUUUCUAUUGUGCAACUUAACAAUGAUAAGAGCCCUUUUCAGAGAACAUUUGUGAUUCAGGUACCUUUUAAAUGCCUAGGUAGCUUUUUUGUUUUUGUGUAUGUACUUUAGAAGGCUUCUUUUAAGUAAUGCUCAAGCGGCUAAGCUUAUGAAAAGAUGCAAGAAGCAAGGAGCUGUCUACUUGGGGGGACUUUUCCUUUUAAGCUUAUUCUAGGCAUUGAUAGUUGAAAAUGAAUUCAAAUUUGUCAUCCCCACUUCUCUAAUUAUCAUUUGUGGCUAUGUGUUACAUAGUAUGUUUAUAUACCCUUGUUUUAUGAUUUACAAACCUCCUUUAUUAUAUUUACUUAUUUAUUUUCUAUUGCGAAGAAGGGAAGGAAUAAGAUAACAAGGUAUAGUGCUGAGAGGACCAUCCCAAAAUUUCAUUGGCUAGGCCUAUAGCAAAAAAAAAAAAAAAAAAAAAAAAAAAAAAAAAAAAAAAAAAAAAAAAAUUAACGAUUGCAAUGUGUAUUUGAUUAAGAAAUCUAAUCCUAGAGUAAAAAAGAACAUAUUUUAUUUCAAUUUUAUAUAAUAUAUUUGUGUAAAUAUCUUUUAGAAUAGGGAUUAUCCUCAUUUCAGUUUCCUAAAAUUUUCUUUAUUUGUCUGCUAUAUGCAUGCCUUGAGAGGCUGAGAUUCAUACCCUAUGACUGACUAACAUAGAUUUCAGGCUACUGUUCUUUCAAAUUUCUAAUAUAGACACAAAUGGUAUUUCAU